GGAUUGUGGCUCAGUGGUAGAGCGCUUGCCUAGCACAUGUGAGGCACUGAGUUUGAUCCUUAGCACCA
This 68-nucleotide transfer RNA is filed under the name Marmota monax (woodchuck). RNAcentral's name for it is "tRNA.Ala". Lineage: Eukaryota; Metazoa; Chordata; Mammalia; Rodentia; Sciuridae. The record is from RNAcentral.